GACUUCUCUUAGCUGCCUAGCCCGAGCAAACGCACAGUGGUAACUGAAUAGAAGCCUGUUUAAUCAUAUGAAUGUAAAAUAAAUAUGGAGAUACUCAAUGCCAAAAUGCAUUUUUGUUAUAUUAUUAUUUUGAACCAGCUCUGGCAACUAAAACCUUCUAUUAAGACAGCAACAAAGGGCGACACAAUAGUCCAACUUAUUUUUCUGUUAACGAAUAGAUUUAGUGAGCUGACUCACUUACCGAGAAAUGCCUAUUGGAAUAUGUAUGGAUGCGGCCAAGUAAGCGUCAUGCUAUUAUCGAUAGCUCAAUGUCAUCAGCUGCUGAUGUUAUCUAAACCACUGAGCUUUCGAAACAUGCAAAAAGAUUUGCCAUUCGCCAGUUAUAUAAAAUCUAUCGAUUACUGUUUGAAUUCAAUAUAUUAGUGUGACCAUAUAAAACUACACAAAUAUACUAAUUAUGGAUUGAUAAAUUCAUAAUGAACUUUAUUUACUGUAAACAUCAACGUUAGUUCAUGUAAUUGGAGUAGUUCCCUAACUCAGCCCAAUAUCUACACAGAAAAAGCUUCCCAUUAUCAUAAAUAUUAUCGAAAGCAAAACUUGUUUUUCAAUAACAAUGAUUGAUGAAUCUACACACAUAUUUGGCAUUGCAUUCCACUGUGCCAAUUGCAGAGAACGACAUGGCUCAUGGUGACAGUGCUUGCUGGGGCAUUUUUUUUGGCAGGGAAUUAUGAUGAUUAUGAUGAUGAACGCGUGGUUGUCCGAUAUGUUUGGCCUCCUCUUGCCAAUUGCAGGCCCAUCCGCCUCCCAGCCCCUCCCGCUUGGCCCCUCUGGCAGAGGCAGUGGGAAUCGCGGAUUGUCAACAUGACAGGCGCGACGACGACCACGUUGAAGAACUGUGGCAAUUCCGAGGAAUUUACUCGGCAGCCAAGCAAUUGUCUGUCUCUGGUAUCUGCUCUGGGCAACCGAAAUAGUGAGCAAACGAGUCGAGGCGGGGCGGAUGUAUGUAAAUCACUUUAUGCGCGAGUGUCAAAAAAUUAAGAAGCCCAAUUAGACGUUGCCACCUGUCAGCAGUUCGUCAUCUUCAGCCAAGAAUAUGACAUUCAUUCAUGCGCCAGAAUGACGAAGUAGACGAAACGCUUCAGCUGACAAUUUAUGUCGGGAGAUCUUAUGCCAGCCAGCCAGCCCGACAGCCAAUCCGCCAGUGAGUCGGUCCGUUCGUCAGUUUCCUCGGUGUGUGUGUGUGUGCUGUGGGCCAUAAAAGUUGUUGUUGGCCAUCAGAGCGCCAAGUGUUGCACUCAUUUAUGAAUUUAUGUUUUAUUUUAGUCCAUGGACCAUGAUAUUUUGCAUACAUUCACAUUCAUGACAAUUUCCAUGGACCAACUGAUAUGAUCAAGCAACAUUGUAUGUAAACAGAUUACGUAUGAAGUCAGAAUGAACUAAGGGGAAUUGAAUUAUGUUAGCUUUAUAAAUUGUAUAAAUAUACAUUUGACAGUUGUAAAUUUUUUUU
Molecule: long non-coding RNA, 1507 nt
Organism: Drosophila mojavensis
Lineage: Eukaryota; Metazoa; Arthropoda; Insecta; Diptera; Drosophilidae
Exons: 3
Source: RefSeq, a predicted model, not a curated record